Molecule: ribosomal RNA, 407 nt
Filed under: uncultured bacterium
Lineage: Bacteria
Description: partial 16S ribosomal RNA
Rfam family: Bacterial small subunit ribosomal RNA
Source: RNAcentral
GAUGAACGCUAGCUAUAGGCUUAACACAUGCAAGUCGAGGGACCGGCGCACGGGUGAGUAACGCGUAUCCAACCCUCCCAUAACUAAGGGAUAACCCAGAGAAAGUUGGACUAAUACCUUAUGGUUAUGGCUGGGGUUGCGUGUGAUUAGCUUGUUGGCGGGGUAACGGCCCACCAAGGCAACGAUCAGUAGGGGUUCUGAUAGGAAGGUCCCCUGCAUUGGAACUGAGACACGGUCCAAACUCCUACGGGAGGGAGCAGUGAGGAAUACAGGGCAAUGGAGGCAAGUCUGAACCAGCCAAGUAGCGGGCAGGGGGACGGCGUAUGGGUGUUAAACUGCUUUUAUAUGGGGAUAGGUACCAUAUGAAUAAGGACCGGCUAAUUCCGUGCCAGCAGCCGCGGUAAUUC